Molecule: long non-coding RNA, 330 nt
Filed under: Nicotiana benthamiana
Lineage: Eukaryota; Viridiplantae; Streptophyta; Magnoliopsida; Solanales; Solanaceae
Description: long non-coding RNA (NBEN_LNC021905)
Source: RNAcentral
GAGCAUAGACCUUUCAAUAUCCAGAAAAUGGAUUAUAGUUUUUCUGUGUUCUUUAAAAAAGAGUCGCAAGAUUAACGAAGCAUGCCAAUUGGCAGAUGUUAUGAAUCAUUAUAGCUCACCUCAAAUAGAACGUGUCCCCAGAGAACAACUCUAGUAGUGGAAUCCACAGAAUUCACAUUCAAGGAUCGUGAAAUUAUGCUCCAAUUCCCUAAUGACAGUCACCAUUUUGUCUUGAAUAGCUGGUAAAAGAACGUUCAAAAUGAUUCUCAGAGGCACAAGUUACAUGAGUCUCUGCUACCCUAAGAUGGCGUCAAACUAUUGAAGUUUGUU